This 379-nucleotide ribosomal RNA is filed under the name uncultured bacterium. RNAcentral's name for it is "bacterial SSU rRNA". It matches the Rfam family "Bacterial small subunit ribosomal RNA", at positions 28 to 404 of the family's 1533-position model. The record is from RNAcentral.
GACGAACGCUGGCGGCGUGCUUAACACAUGCAAGUCGAGCGGUAAGGCCCUUUCGGGGGUACACGAGCGGCGAACGGGUGAGUAACACGUGGGUGACCUGCCUUUAGCUCUGGGGAUAAGCCUGGGAAACUGGGUCUAAUACCGGAUACGACUCCGCGGUGCAUGGCUGUGGGGUGGAAAGCCUUGUGCGGCUGGAGAUGGGCCCGCGGCCUAUCAGCUUGUUGGUGGGGUGAUGGCCUACCAAGGCGACGACGGUAGCCGGCCUGAGAGGGCGACCGGCCACACUGGGACUGAGACACGGCCCAGACUCCUACGGGAGGCAGCAGGUGGGGAAUCUUGCGCGAAUAGGGCGAAAGCCUGACGCAGCGACGCCGCGUGA